Long non-coding RNA from Melospiza melodia melodia, 780 nucleotides. RefSeq lists it as uncharacterized. The record is from RefSeq and is a predicted model, not a curated record. The transcript is spliced from 3 exons. NCBI's taxonomy places the organism in Eukaryota, Metazoa, Chordata, Aves, Passeriformes, Passerellidae.
GUCCAAGUUCGAGCAGAUCCACAGGUUGCGUUCCCAUGGUCUCAUUUGCACCUUCACUCAGGGGGAGGAUCCAAGCAUUCCUACCUGGAUAUAAGCUGAGCCUUGCUACACCAGAAACACCUUGCCUACUGGAUUCCCAGAGGACAAGAUCUCCAUAACCGCCACUGGACCUCCAGAGGAAGACCAGACCCUUCUACGGGAUCACUGCUUUGACAGAAUCACGUUCAUCACUCCAACAGGACUGCAGUCACCAUUUAUUGGGACUGCUGCCACCACCAUUACCAACAGGGUGUCAGGUUAUAUCCUGACUCUGUCAGUUUAAGGAUUUCCCAAUCCCAAACCUUGAUCAGAUGCAAGAGGAGGCUGCGAGGAAAAGGAACAUGCCCUGGGACACCCAGGCAGGUGAGGAGGAAGUCAGUGCCCCUUUCCCCCUCUCUCCUGCUCCAUCUCCCAGCCCAACAUGGCCCCUGGCUGCAGGACAGCCCUGCUGUCAACCCCAUACUGCCAGGGAUGCUCUGAGGGAAUCUCCUUCCCCUUCCCUGUGGCACGGAGCCAAAUCCCAUCCUCUCCUUGUCCUUCCUUCCCCAGGGAAGGAGCUGAGGAUGGUGUAGUAGAUAGGGUCAGGCGCUCGGAAAAUCUCGCAAUGUCACGGAAAGCAGUAGAAUUCCUCUCCACCUAACGCCUAGUGAUAAAGGAUCACCCAAGAAUGUAGUCCCCCCUAAGACUAGUAUCUUUCGACUCCUUACUAACCAAUUACAGUAAGGUAAGACCCCCUGAUGU